UAAGGAAUAUUGCUCAAUGGGGGAAAUCCUGAAGCAGCAACGCCGCGUGGAGGAUGAAGGGUCUAUGACUUGUAAACUCCUGUAAAGAAGGAAAAAAUUCCCAUUUGAUGGGAGAUGAUGGUACUUCUGGAGUAAGCCCCGGCUAACUACGUGCCAGCAGCCGCGGUAAUACGUAGGGGGCAAGCGUUGUCCGGAUUUACUGGGUGUAAAGGUUGCUCAGGCGGAUUUGUAAGUCAGAGGUGAAAUCUUACAGCUUAACUGUGAAACUGCCUUUGAUACUGCAAGCCUAGAGUAUGGAAGAGAGUGAUGGAAUAUCUGGUGUAGCAGUGAAAUGCGUAGAUAUCAGAUAGAACACCAAUGGCGAAGGCAGUCACUUGGUCCAUUACUGACGCUAAAGCACGAAAGCGUGGGUAGCAAACA
Molecule: ribosomal RNA, 420 nt
Filed under: uncultured bacterium
Lineage: Bacteria
Description: bacterial SSU rRNA
Rfam family: Bacterial small subunit ribosomal RNA
Source: RNAcentral